This 560-nucleotide unclassified non-coding RNA is filed under the name Rhodotorula sp. JY122. RNAcentral's name for it is "sequence contains ITS1". The stretch from base 133 to 286 matches the Rfam family "5.8S ribosomal RNA". The record is from RNAcentral. Lineage: Eukaryota; Fungi; Basidiomycota; Microbotryomycetes; Sporidiobolales; Sporidiobolaceae.
UUACUUGGAGUCCGAACUCUCACUUUCUAACCCUGUGCACUUGUUUGGGAUAGUAACUCUCGCAAGAGAGCGAACUCCUAUUCACUUAUAAACACAAAGUCUAUGAAUGUAUUAAAUUUUAUAACAAAAUAAAACUUUCAACAACGGAUCUCUUGGCUCUCGCAUCGAUGAAGAACGCAGCGAAAUGCGAUAAGUAAUGUGAAUUGCAGAAUUCAGUGAAUCAUCGAAUCUUUGAACGCACCUUGCGCUCCAUGGUAUUCCGUGGAGCAUGCCUGUUUGAGUGUCAUGAAUACUUCAACCCUCCUCUUUCUUAAUGAUUGAAGAGGUGUUUGGUUUCUGAGCGCUGCUGGCCUUUACGGUCUAGCUCGUUCGUAAUGCAUUAGCAUCCGCAAUCGAACUUCGGAUUGACUUGGCGUAAUAGACUAUUCGCUGAGGAAUUCUAGUCUUCGGAUUAGAGCCGGGUUGGGUUAAAGGAAGCUUCUAAUCAGAAUGUCUACAUUUUAAGAUUAGAUCUCAAAUCAGGUAGGACUACCCGCUGAACUUAAGCAUAUCAAUAAGCG